This 488-nucleotide unclassified non-coding RNA is filed under the name plant metagenome. RNAcentral's name for it is "partial contains 5.8S ribosomal RNA, internal transcribed spacer 2, and large subunit ribosomal RNA". The stretch from base 1 to 103 matches the Rfam family "5.8S ribosomal RNA", at positions 49 to 154 of the family's 154-position model. The record is from RNAcentral.
CAAAUCGCGAUAUUUAAUGUGAUCUGCCUAUAGUGAAUCAUCAAAUCUUUGAACGCAUCUUGCACCUUAUGGUAUUCCAUAAGGUACGUCUGUUUCAGUACCAACUGUUAUCUCCCUUCCUCCUCAUUCGUUUGGGUUGAAUGAUGGAAAGAAGGAUCAGAGAUGCAUUGACUGGUCCUGGUGGUAGUAGGCUUUGCUGCCUUGUCGUCCUGCGGGGUGAUGCAGUAUUGCAGCCGAAGACAAAAUCCACUCUCGACCUAAUGAUAAAGCCGGCUUAACCGAGCGAAAGGGGACCUCCUCACCUUUUUGUCUUCCCUCUUGGGGGAAUGGGAGAAAGAGAAAGGGGGGACCUGAGUAGUAGGGAGGUUUUGCUUUGAUAAUGAAUACAUUCUGUAAAGUUUACUUUGCAGGAUCCAAUAGACUCAAACAUCUAUUGGAACUCAUUACUUUGGCCUGAAAUCAGAUGGGACUACCCGCUGAACUUAAGC